ACACGUACGCUGUCACCUCCGGGAGAGGCCACGGGUGGCAGCGAGUCCUGAACUCUUUCCAACACGAGCUGCCCCUUACUUCCUGCCUGGCCUGCUGGAAACACCGAGAGAAGCCAAUCUUCCGAGGACCUCCGUCUGGGAAAACUGACCUGGGGGCCACGCUAAGGGGAAAGCUCCCUGUUCUCUAACUCAGUGCUCUCUUCCAGGGUGGAGGCAGGGAUGAUGGCUUUCAUCAUUCAUAGGAGGAUGGCAUAAGCCCUGAGAGGUGAGAAAGCCUAGGUCUGUCCAGUCUCAGUUCCGCCCCGAUGCCUGCAGCAGAGCCUGCUGUGGGGACCUGCUGGAGACGUGCAGUGUGCACCCAGCCUCUCAUCAGCUCCAGGCUGCGCUGUCACCCCAUGGACAGUGACUUCUGGCAUCCACACACUCCAGACAGAUGUGCAGCCGGCGCUGCCAGCCCGGAAGGAUGUCUGACACGUUUCUCAGCUGUGUUGCCUCUUUCAAGGUCACUGGCUUGAGCUCUUCCCUGCUCCAAGCACACGGACAUGGCAGCGGGCAGCAGGCAGAUGGUGCGCGGUCUCACGUCCUCGGGCACCCGGCGGCGCGGGGACCCCUGCGGUCUCUGCACUGUGGGCACCUGCAAGCAGAGCUCUGCAGAUGAAACUGAAGCCCCCCAUCAUCACACACCAGGCUCCUGCCGCAGCCCCUGCGCUGCCCUCAGAACCGGCCUGCACACCCGCCCCACUGAGAGGCAGAGCUCUGCAGCUCCACAGCCCACGUUGUGCUGGUCAAAGCUCUGGACGCUGGAAGUCCUAGAGGAGGAUGUCAGGGCCUUCCCCCCUCUGAAGUCUGCAGGGAGGAUCGACCCACACCUGGCCCAGCUCUGGUGUGACCGGCAAUCCCAGGGGUCCUUGGCUCCAGUCUCCCCUCUGCUGUUGCAUGGCUGUCUUCUCUGGGUGUCUCUCUGUGCCUCUGCUCCUCCUACAGGGACAUCAGCCAUUGUACUGAGGGUCCACCCUACUCCAGGGUGACCUCACCCCAACCUCACCAAUGACAUCUGCAGAGACCCUAUUUCUAUAUAAGGUCACAUUCUGAGGUUCAGAUUCAUUAAUUAAAUCCACAGAGCACAGCCUCCUGCAGCCCUUCCACAGGCUCUGGAAGCUGAAUGCACCCGGAAGGUACCGAGAACUCUCGGGGUAAGGCUGGAGGUGCUCUAAGGGAGGACCAGAGAUGCCAGCUCACCCUGGAGUUCAUCUGAGCCACCCCAAGUGAACCACCGAGACAGCUCAUGCAUAGAGAGCCCAGACGAUCAUGAAAUCAGAUGCCUGCUGAGGGCUGGCCAACCCAGAGGCUUCUCCCAUCCACGUCUCACCCCGUCACUCCCCAGACUGGGCUGAGAGGUGGCCCUGCCCUCAGGAAGCACACACUCAGCAGGGAGAAUCCUCCAGAAAGAAACCACCUGUGAGGGGUGCCCACUGGCCACAGAGCCCCAGGGUCCACAGAGAGCGAGGCCACCUCAGGACCUGCAUGGAGACUUUACCUGCGUAGGCUGUGUUUUGAUUUAAACAGCCUCUUGGGAUGUGGGACUCAGGAUGGUGGUGAGCCACUUCCUGCUGCAGUGUGUCCCACCCGGCCUUCUGUUUCACGAGCUCUGGUCACUGUAUGAUUUGUGAAGCUCCCUGGGGGAAAGGGACCUGCUGCCAGACUGAUAUUUACAAAACCAGGCCUGCCGGGAAGGAGUCAGCUCAGUGCUCAGGCCUUACCAAUACUCCCCUGGGCUCAUUGUCAUCUCCAUUUAAAAGCCAGACUGGGCCAGAUGCGGUGGCUCAUACCUGUAAUUCCAGCACUUUGGGAAGCCAAAGCAAGAGGAUCACUUGAACUCAGGAGUUCAACACCAGCUGGACAACAUGGCACGACCCCCAUCUCUACAAAAAAAAAAAAA
Long non-coding RNA from Macaca fascicularis (crab-eating macaque), 1939 nucleotides. NCBI's taxonomy places the organism in Eukaryota, Metazoa, Chordata, Mammalia, Primates, Cercopithecidae. The record is from Ensembl.